ACAAGGAUAAACCACAAAAGGAACGGAAGACAGACGCAAAAAGAAGCUCCAGGCCAGGCUGAGAAGCUGCUUGAGGGAUGAGUAAGCCCUUCCCACCUCACGUCUCAAUCUCCCCGUCAAAGGUGGGAAGGUAGGUUUUUCAAUAUGGAAGUUGCUUAUAGAGCUACAGAAAAAGGUUAAAGCCCAUGGGAUUCCAUUUUGUCAGCCCCACCCUUACCAAUACUUAUAUUACUCCCAGACCAUUGUCCUGUUCAGGGUCAGCAACAGAGUGUGAUUUUAGAAAGAAGGAGUAAGGAAAAGGGUUCAGUAGAGAAUUCAGAGAAUUAGGAGAGAAGGGGGCAGAGAAAGAGGACUAAACUGAAGUACAGACUAAAAAACGCUGUAUGAAAACCUAUUGCUUUGAAAACUAAUUUUUAAAGUAAUUUAAUUUAGAUUUAAUUGAAAAACAGAAAAUGAACAAAUUAUUGAAUAAACUAAUGGACGAUGGAUCGUGAGGAAAAUUAUAUUUAGGAGUAUAUACAUACUCACAUGAACAUGACCUACUACAAGGUCCAGAGAAAGGGAGAGAAAUGGUGUGCACAUGAAAACCCAGUACAGAAUUAAAGCCAAAAAUAAUGAACUAUAAAAUGAUAAGGACCUAUAUUUCGAAGGGAGGAAUACAAAGAAGAACUUUGAAAAACUUAAAGCAGGUCAUUAUGUGAUUUUAGCGUAGUAUUUCCUAAGAACCAGGUCAAGUUUAAGUGGUCUGACUAAACUCUUACAGUCAUCCAUUCACUUGGAAAACAACCGUUGCUCGCCAGCUGCCUUUCUGGCCCCAGGGACCAAAGUUAAAUUUCGCAUUUAUUUCCCCCAAAUUUCUGACUGGUCGCAUAAAGCUCUGAACUCUGACAGCCUAGCUCGGGCAACUAGCUACUGUCAUAAUUAUCAUCCUUGAUUACCAAAAUAGCCUGGCAUUUAGUAGGAGAAAGUGGAUUUUAAGGCUGAGUAGCAUCAAAAUGGUCCACCUGUGUAUCUGCUGGAAACAUUAAACAAGCAAUUAAGUUCUUCAUCUCCAGUCAUUCCACACGGCUUGUCCAGGGGCGCCCGUUAUCACCACAGGCAGUGUUGUUUUAAGAAACCUGAAUACAGUCAAGGUAAUGAAAAUCUAUACAGACUGACAGGCAAGCAAAGCAGACAGACAGACAGCAGUUUGAGUAUGUGGAUGCCUAUAUCCUGAGUCAAAACCCCUCUGAAUUUAAAUGUGAGCAGACUAUUUAAAUUUUAUGAUGUUUUAACUGCGGCCUCCAGGCUCUACCAAUCACCUGUCACCCUAAAAAUCUAUGUCAAGAUUAGCCUUCUCUCAUGUACUGGCUAGUUUUAUGUCAACUUAAAUACAAGCUAGAGUCAUUUGAGAGGAGGAAAGCCCUCAACUGAGAAAACGUUCCCACUAGAUUGCCCUGUGGGCGAAGCCUUCGGUGCAUUUUCUUCAUUGCUAGUCAUGAGGGGGAGCAGUCCCUCGUGGGCAGUGACACCCCUGGGCUGGGGAUCUUGUGUUCUAAGAGACAAUCAGAGCAGGCUGUGAAGAGCCAGCCGGUAAGCACUGUGCCUCCGUGGCUUCUGCUCUAGUUCCUGUCUCACAGUUCCUCCUUUCAGUAAUGAACUAUUACUGAAAUAGACCUUUUCCUCCCCAAACUCUUCAUGGCCAUAUAGUAUGGCCAUGUAUUUUAUCACAGCACUACAAACCCUGACUGAACACCACAACACAAGGCAGCAAUUCGAUCCUCAGGGAAGACGUGGCUCAUGGUCCCUUCUUCCCUUCCUUCUGGAGUGCCUAUGGUGCUUCAAAGAUGGCGCUAGGUAGUCACCGCCCUGAAGUGAACCAAUAAGACACAGUCUUUCCUUUCGCCGGCCAACUGAAGGGUGCUUUUGACCAGCCCCGUCUGUUUUACCAGCCUUCCUAAGCAGGAGCCCACCCUUGUCUGGAUUAUCGUCCAAUCAUCUCACCCCAUACCUCUCAAACCUUCAAGCCAGAGCCACAGUGCUACAAAUUAAGGGGAUUCCUGCCGUUUCUGCCUCUGCUAGCCUUUAACUUUUAAGGCCUGUAUUAGUUACUUUCCGUGGUGGAUACGACUUAGGGGAGAAAGGAUUUAUUUUGGUUCUCAGAUCCAGAAUUUAGUCUGUGGUUGGUGACCAGCAAGCCAGUUCCUCCCAUCUUAGAAGAUCGGGAAGCACAAAUACAACUGGACAUCAGGACGGGCUAGACCCUUCAAAAGCCUUCCUCUAAUGACAGAAUUCCAUCAGCCAUGCCUCAAGUCCCCACAUUUCCAACACCUCCUUAAAAAGUCCCUCCUGCUGGGAGCAUGUGUUCAAACUCACAGGCCUGCAGGGAAUGGGCCUUCCCCUUCUAAUCAUGCCACUCAUACACAGUGCUGCUCACCAACAUGAUACACUCUGAUGGGGGUUUGGAUUCUGACUGCGUCUUUCUAGCUUCCGGGGCUUCAGUGUCUUCCCUGAGUAAAUGACAAUAAGAACGCGUACAGACCAAGGAUGCCCGAAGAGUUAAAUGAAUGAGUAUCUAUGAAUGUCCCCCCAGUAGAAGCCUGGAGGUGGCUUUCUGCAGCAAUCCCAAGACUAGAACCCUCCUUCCAAAUCCUCAGAGCCUGACGACCUCUGCACACCCUACUUCACACCAGAGGUCCAGGCAGGCUUCUUUGCCACCUCCUCAUGCUCAUACCUGGGACAAUGUUUGACACAUAGUUGGUCAGAACGGGGAAUGUGGUGGCUGGCCUCCACACCACCUAAGUGGCAUUACUGGUAGAGUUUAAAUAUCCUGCUGAGUCUGCCGGUUCUUCAGGCACUCGGACUGCACCUCUGAACUUCGAUGAGUGUGUGAACUCGAGGAUGCUGCAGAACGAUCGUGUCUUCUCUCUGCACUGCAGUCCCUUUGGAGCAAAUGCGGAGCCCCCAAAACACGACGUUUAAAUGGUGUUCCCUUAACCUCACAUUCUCGUGCUCCUGGCUAGGAAGCAGUUGCUGAAGCCAAACCAGGAGGAAGGAUGUUUGCGAUGCAACCUUCCCAAGGUCAUUUUCAUACAAAAUGAAACAUAGAGUUAAAGGGUUAAUGAAGAGUCAGCUCCAUGUGCAAACAAUGACUCCACCACCUUGGAAGAAUGAAAACUGCAAGCCUGCACCUUCCAAGAAAUAAGCAAGGACGAAGGACUGUUUUUCCUAGGCCAUUUCCACUCUAAAACCUGCUCUUCUUCUCACGCAAAAGCAGCUAGAGGAAGCCCUCCAGGAAGCUUCGGAUGCCCCUCCAGAAUCACUCUGCUGGCCAACAGCCCCUUGCCUCUGCUAAAUUUGCUCUGCAAAAUCAAGGACCUCGCUCUGCUUGAUAAAAGUUUUUCUUCCAUUCUAACCAGUCUUAACCAACUUUACCUAGACUUAGAAGCAUACGAGCAGAAGCUACCAGAAGCCCCACCCACUGUUACGUAGGGCAGCAGCUGAGUGCUCAGGUACCCCACCUGACACCCAUGCCACCUAGAAUGGUCUUUCCCAGGUUGCAGAACCCUGGAGACUGUUCACAAGAAGACAAUCUGCCUUCUUGGAUACGUCUCUUGCUCCUCACCUGAUGAAUGGGCAUCACUAUGUCCCAAGAGGUUGGAAAGCAACCAAAGAGAACAUUCUCAAAUGCACAAUCUCUUCGUCCCCAGACAUGCUCACUCUGCGUGGGAACUGCGGUGGCCGGGAUUCACAGUAAGGACUCAAUAGACUAUGGAGGUCCCAGGUUCUAGGAGACAGGUGCUGCUUGCUGAGUGAGAUUCUCAAGACAUUUAGAUGCAACCGUUCUCUCUCUCUUUUUGUUUUUCAGGAAAAUUCCCUCAAACGGAGAGGCAAUACCUCCUUGCCCCAUUCUAGUAAAUUCUCUCUGUAGCACAUUACACUUCCCCAGACACAUUUAGAAAGUGCCAUUCAUUUAAUUGCUUGAAAAACCCAAACCAGAGUACCGGAGCUCGGACCUCUAUUUGUUGGCUGUCUACAGAUUUACAAUGUAGCACCAUGUGGAUCUUCAGAGCCAAAGUGUUAGAAAUCUGAGGUGCUCACUCGACCCCCAAAAAUACAAUGGGCAAAAAAAAAAGGCAGGAAAUGCUUCAGAGUCCCCAGAAGGCAUCAACCCCAAUUACAUUACUACACAUGUGUGCAACACUUAAGCUGCUCAUUAACAUUUGGGAAAUUCUUCUGGUAAAUGUCUUCAUAUCCAAUUUAGGCUUCUUUCCCCUUCGCCCUCCCACCCCGCUUCAUAGACAGGCUACAAUAAUGAGCUAUAUAAACGUAACUCCUUAAACGAAGAAUGUCAUCACUUCGGAAUACAAGAGAGCUGUGCUUGUGGCGUGUAUGUCUCCAAACCACACUUGCUGUCUGUUAGAGUUUGUAGCAACUUUUAAAUCUGUCAUCACGGCAUGAAUUUCAUACUAAACCCCUUCCCCAGUGCUUGAGCCAGGAAGUAAGAGGGGAACAGGCUGUGUCAUUUAUGGGCAGGCUGGUAUCGGGUCAAGUGUGACAUCAUGCUCUGCUGAGCCAUAAUGAGGUGAGAAGGCAAGCCUGCAACAACGUGGCACUUUGUUUUGGGGUAGGGGGGGUUAUAUUUCAGCUUAUGAUAAAACUGAGACCAGGGACACGGACUAUGGAUUCUAAACAGCCAAAGCAAAAGACGCACAAACGAGGUGGGGGAGGAAAGCUAUUUAAGAAUUUAGCAAAAAUUAUACAUAUAUAAAAUUAUACAUAUAUAAAAUUAUAUAUAUAUAUAUACACACUCACACACACACACACACACACACACACACACACACCUAGGACCCAGUUCAUAUAUAUAUGAAAGUAUAAAAAGCCAAAGGGUCAGAAUGGGCUGUAAGCAGGACAGUUCCCUGGCUUUUGUAUGUAUCACAUGUAUUCAACUAAAAUAUUAACCAGCUUGUCUCCUUGUUGUGGUUACUACUUAAGGAGACAGAGGAAACAACUCAAAAUGAGUGUGUGCAAAUGUGUCUACUUCUUUACAAAAAAACACAAGAACCUAUUUUCAAUAUUCUGGGAGUUCUUCUCUUGACCAAAUGUUUCCAUCCAAAGUAACAGAAAUGUAACCUAACAGAGCGAGCCUCCUCGGUCUCUUCUUGUGUAUCCAUGUAACUGCCUAUAGCAACAUUCGAAUUCAUGAAUAACCCACAAAGUACAACAGAAAUACAUAUGGCAAAGAAGAUGAGGCAGAAGUUCAAUACCCAUUUAAAAAAAAUAGAAAAAGCUGUAUUGUAUAUCCACAGAUGAGUGCUGCCCUCAGCCUUGGUCAGAAAAGCUCUCUUUGCUGUGGCAGUGCAGACACUCAUGACAGGUCAAAGCUCUGGAUAUAAGUAAUUACCAAGUGCUCAGCUUUGAAUGGGACAACUGUGUCAAGAAUAUCCCACCAGGCUCAGGGGUAAUUGUCGACAAGGGGGAAAGAAAGAAUUCGAGAGCCAGAUUGGAAGCAGUUCUAGGAAACACCAUCUUCUGGAUGUCACGUGACAAUUGUGCCUAUGACGUCACGGUAACUAUGGUUACUGGCAGAAGACUGGGUCUGUCAGCCCUGCAUCAUGGAUAGGGCAGGGUUCAUGAAGCCUCCUCCCCAUGAGAAGCUAUUGCCAGUCAAUGACUUCUGAAGGGAUGAGGGAAGUCAUUUUCUUCAGUGGUGUAGCCAACUGUUGAGUUACCUCUACUCCAGCAAAUAACCGUCUACCCAUGCUCAUGCAAGCAGCUCUAAGCAAACCCAGCAGGCCAGACCUAAGCAAAACGAGAGAGCUCCCGUGCCAGCCACAUGGCAGUUCCAGCUUUUCAAACUAUGUAAAGAAAAGGGAAGCAACAUCUUUUGAAGUACAUAUCCUUCCAGCUGAAAUAAAAAUAAAAUUCCGGUUAUAAAAAUAAAUAAUCGCUAUACUUUGAUGUAGUUAUUACACUUAAAGUGGGCCCUGUGUUCAGGAGGGAGUCUAUGACAAAUACCCAACAAUGUGACAAGCGGAGCAGACUCAGAACAGAGACCCACAGUAACCCAGAAGAGGCCAUUAAAUCCACUAAAUACUCUUCUCUCAACUGUCAAGAGAAGGCCUCCCUCAAAGCUGCUGCUCUUCCUGUCUGGAUAUUACAAAAGGCUCGAACCAUUCCUGUAGGUGCUAAGGCCUCACAUGUGGAAGACGCAAAGCCUCACACCACUAAGUCCCAUUGGUUCUCUGGAGGAGUUUACUAUUCAAAUUGUUUUAAAUAGUUCUACUUCAUUUAAGUGAGAAAUUCAUCCUAUGAGAAAACGUCUGCAUUAUAAAGCUAAAAAAUCUACAAUUGUUCUUUUGUUUUAAUUUUCUCAGCUGUAAUCAGAUACACACCAGAAGAACAGAACUGAAGCCUUAUCAAUUCUUCUGGCCUUUUCUGAAAUAUCGGUUUCUUCACACAAACACAAUAAUAGACCAAUAUUCAUUGGGCUCAUGCUUUUUUUUUUCUAAUUAUGAGCCUAUUAGAAGCCCUGCCUAUCUCCAUGGUAACCAUAUAGCUCUUCAUCAGCUGUAAAUUAACCCCUGAUUAGCUGCUUGUCGUCUCCUAAAGAUGCUAUUCGACCUGCCCAGAUGCUUAGCCACGGCUACAGAGUCUCAUACCAACGAAGGAGAAAAGAAACCACUUUGGGCCAAGUCUAUAGAUCAUAAAUGUGAUGAAUGGGUCCCAUCUCCAGAUAUGGAGCUUCUAGGUUUCCCAGCUUCAAGAGGCCCCUCACAGUCAUGGCCCCGUCCCUCCAACUACCAAGACUGUAGCACCAAGUCUUCCUCACGCUGCUGUGUGUCUGCUUCUCUGCGACAGAGGCUGGUUCCACUAUCAAGGACUCGUGAGACUAGGCUGGACCGCCUGCAAGUUCCAGGAUAAACAUUAUCAUUGUAAGGACUUGAUCACAUCUACAAAGUCUCCUUUUUCAGCUUGGUGGUCUCCUCGUUAUUGAUGUGAUUCUCAUCUCCCCCUCAAUACACACACAAUUUUAAUUGCUUUCAUCCGCCUCCCCCCAAAGAAAGCAGUAAAAAGAGAGGGAUUGCUGAAGACAGGAGCCCUUUGGGCAGUUAGAAAAACAAUAGAAAACAAAACCAUCUUUGGAUGUGACAGAGGUUGUCAAUCAAGAGAGCAAACAAGGGGAAGAAAGAAGAGGAAGAAAGUACACCAGACGCUGUCUGCUAUCACCCCUCUCGCUGAGCGGCUGGAGAGACAGCCUCAAACAUUUAAGAAGUGCAGGUUCUCAAGGAAAGAGAUGGUUGAGCUUGGAGGAGGUGGUGGAGGUAAGGAGGGGUGCCACCUGUCCUUGAAGAAGGGAACCCAUACACAACUCCAGGAUAGCAGCUUCCCAGACUGUGGAUGUCAUCAUCCUCUGAAAGGGAUGUGGAAAAAGAAGUCUUCAUGGAGCCAAGCUUUGGAGCUUUUUCUACUAUCACCAGGACCCAUCUGGAUAUUUCUUUAGAAUCUUCUCUCCAUCAGAGGCUAGUGCCCUCUGUACACAAACUUCAUUUUCCCAAGAACCAGACUGGACAAAGCUGGACUCCAAAAUUCCACAUCCUGCAAAUGCCAGAACCAUUUAAAACUGAAUUUUUCUGUAGAUCUGAAAUGCUUGAACUGAGUAUAAAGAUAAGUUUUCUCCUAAUAACAUGACAAGUGUAGAAAUUGUUAUGAAUGAUUCAAACUGUAUAGACACACAAUAUUAAAGACAUGCAAAGAUGGA
Non-coding RNA from Rattus norvegicus (Norway rat), 7744 nucleotides. The record is from RefSeq and is a predicted model, not a curated record. NCBI's taxonomy places the organism in Eukaryota, Metazoa, Chordata, Mammalia, Rodentia, Muridae.